This 500-nucleotide ribosomal RNA is filed under the name uncultured bacterium. RNAcentral describes it as "partial 16S ribosomal RNA". It matches the Rfam family "Bacterial small subunit ribosomal RNA", at positions 30 to 523 of the family's 1533-position model. The record is from RNAcentral.
AUUGAACGCUGGCGGCAGGCCUAACACAUGCAAGUCGAGCGGUUGAGGGGAGCUUGCUCCCUGAUUCAGCGGCGGACGGGUGGGUAAUGCCUAGGAAUCUGCCUAUUAGUGGGGGACAACGUUUCGAAAGGAACGCUAAUACCGCAUACGUCCUACGGGAGAAAGCAGGGGACCUUCGGGCCUUGCGCUAAUAGAUGAGCCUAGGUCGGAUUAGCUUGUUGGUGAGGUAAUGGCUCACCAAGGCGACGAUCCGUAACUGGUCUGAGAGGAUGAUCAGUCACACUGGAACUGAGACACGGUCCAGACUCCUACGGGAGGCAGCAGUGGGGAAUAUUGGACAAUGGGCGAAAGCCUGAUCCAGCCAUGCCGCGUGUGUGAAGAAGGUCUUCGGAUUGUAAAGCACUUUAAGUUGGGAGGAAGGGUUGUAGAUUAAUACUCUGCAAUUUUGACGUUACCGACAGAAUAAGCACCGGCUAACUCUGUGCCAGCAGCCGCCGUAA